Molecule: ribosomal RNA, 215 nt
Filed under: uncultured Glomus
Lineage: Eukaryota; Fungi; Glomeromycota; Glomeromycetes; Glomerales; Glomeraceae
Description: partial 18S rRNA
Rfam family: Eukaryotic small subunit ribosomal RNA (bases 38-215)
Source: RNAcentral
GGUCAGCAGGUUGGUCGUGCCACUGGUAUGCACUGGCUUCGCUGAUUCCUCCUUUCUGAAGAACUGUAAUGCCAUUAAUUUGGUGUUGCAGGGAAACAGGACUGUUACUUUGAAAAAAUUAGAGUGUUUAAAGCAGGCUUUGGCUUGAAUACAUUAGCAUGGAAUAAUGAAAUAGGACGUUCGAUCCUAUUUUGUUGGUUUCUAGGAUUGACGUA